GAUGAAGAACGUAGCGAAAUGGGAUAAGUAGUGUGAAUUGCAGAAUUCAGUGAAUCAUCGAAUCUUUGAACGCACAUUGCGCCCCUUGGUAUUCCAUGGGGCAUGCCUGUUCGAGCGUCAUUUGUACCCUCAAGCUUUGCUUGGUGUUGGGUGUUUGUCCCGCGUUGCGCGUGGACUCGCCUUAAAGCGAUUGGCAGCCGGCAUAUUGGCCUUGGAGCGCAGCACAUUUUGCGCUUCUAGUCAUGAAUGUUGGCGUCCAUUAAGCCUAUACAUUUGCUCUUGACCUCGGAUCAGGUAGGGAUACCCGCUGAACUUAAGCAUAUCAAUAAGCGGAGGA
RNAcentral lists this unclassified non-coding RNA (337 nucleotides) under soil metagenome. RNAcentral's name for it is "partial contains 5.8S ribosomal RNA, internal transcribed spacer 2, and large subunit ribosomal RNA". The stretch from base 1 to 120 matches the Rfam family "5.8S ribosomal RNA", at positions 35 to 154 of the family's 154-position model. The record is from RNAcentral.